CAUAUUGCACAAUGGGCGAAAGCCUGAUGCAGCAACGGCGCGUGAGUGAUGAAGGCCUUCGGGUCGUAAAGCUCGUUGAUCAGGGAUGAUAAUGACAGUACCUGAAAAACAAGCCACGGCUAACUACGUGCCAGCCGCCGCGGUAAUACGUAGGUGGCGAGCGUGUUCCGGAAUUACUGGGCGUAAAGGAUGCGGAGUUGGAUACUUAAGUGGUAUGUGAAAUCCCCGGGCUCAACCCGGGAACUGCAUUCCAAACUGGGUAUCUAGAGUGCAGGAGAGGAAAGAGGAAUUCCUAGUGUAGCGGUGAAAUGCGUAGAUAUUAGGAGGAACACCAGUGGCGAAGGCGGCUUUCUGGACUGUAACUGACACUGAGGCAUGAAAGCGUGGGUAGCAAACAGG
This 399-nucleotide ribosomal RNA is filed under the name uncultured bacterium. RNAcentral describes it as "partial 16S ribosomal RNA". It matches the Rfam family "Bacterial small subunit ribosomal RNA", at positions 359 to 776 of the family's 1533-position model. The record is from RNAcentral.